Molecule: long non-coding RNA, 614 nt
Organism: Rosa rugosa (rugosa rose)
Lineage: Eukaryota; Viridiplantae; Streptophyta; Magnoliopsida; Rosales; Rosaceae
Exons: 2
Source: RefSeq, a predicted model, not a curated record
UUUUCUGCAAUUUCCAGUGAAUUUGGUCGCAAUCGGCGAAGACCGAGGUAAGAGGUAUGAUCUACUCUUCAAGUUCUAUAUGGUUAUGUGUUCAUUUAUGAGUUUUGGUUAAGUGUUGGAGGAAUUGGUAUUUUGGGUCCAUCGACCACCAGUGAGGGAGAGAUGAGUAAAAGCUUGAAAAUGCUAUUCUCACUCAAAAGGCAUAAGCUUGGAAGAAGUUGCAAGCCCACCAAGUAUGUGCUGUAAUGUUGAAGAGAGCAAUGAAAGCCUCAAGAAUGUUGAAGCAAUAGAGCUUUCUCCAAGACCCACAUGGAAAUGCUUCUCCUUUAAAGAAAUUUCAUAUGCCACCAACGGUUUCAGCUUAGAGGCCAUUGUUCCAGAUUCAUCAUUACUGGCUUGGAGGGGUGUACCAGCGGCAGUGGGAGGAGAACAGAGCAGGCUUGGAAUCUUCCAUUUCUCUUCCAAAAUGGGUUUGUCAAGUUUAAGAAGAUGAACAAUGUUCAUUGAACAUGAAUGGGAGAAAUGUAUGAACAUGGGGCUAGGGUUGAAAGCCCUAGCCAAACUUGUAUGAAUUGAUGUUUUAAUUUACAUUUGAUGUUAUUUGUGAUUUUUCA